CGCAAAGCAUCGAUCUGGAGAGCGGAGCGUAAUUUUUGGAUAACUGUGUGUUGCGUCAUGACAUAUUGGUGCCUAUAUCGUCACACUGCUUUGCGGA
Molecule: non-coding RNA, 97 nt
Filed under: Proboscia alata
Lineage: Eukaryota; Bacillariophyta; Melosirophyceae; Probosciales; Probosciaceae
Source: RNAcentral